RNAcentral lists this ribosomal RNA (868 nucleotides) under Pseudocercospora macadamiae. Its description in RNAcentral is "LSU rRNA". It matches the Rfam family "Eukaryotic large subunit ribosomal RNA", at positions 34 to 935 of the family's 3401-position model. Lineage: Eukaryota; Fungi; Ascomycota; Dothideomycetes; Mycosphaerellales; Mycosphaerellaceae. The record is from RNAcentral.
CUAGCAUAUCAAUAAGCGGAGGAAAAGAAACCAACAGGGAUUGCCCUAGUAACGGCGAGUGAAGCGGCAACAGCUCAAAUUUGAAAUCUGGCGCAAGCCCGAGUUGUAAUUUGUAGAGGAUGCUUCUGGGUAGCGGCCGGUCUAAGUUCCUUGGAACAGGACGUCAUAGAGGGUGAGAAUCCCGUAUGUGACUGGCUUGCACCCUCCACGUAGCUCCUUCGACGAGUCGAGUUGUUUGGGAAUGCAGCUCUAAAUGGGAGGUAAAUUUCUUCUAAAGCUAAAUACCGGCCAGAGACCGAUAGCGCACAAGUAGAGUGAUCGAAAGAUGAAAAGCACUUUGGAAAGAGAGUUAAAAAGCACGUGAAAUUGUUGAAAGGGAAGCGCCCGCAACCAGACUUUGCGGCAGUGUUCGGCCGGUCUUCUGACCGGUUUACUCGCUGUCGUGAGGCCAUCAUCGUCUGGGACCGCUGGAUAAGACCUUAGGAAUGUGGCUCCCCUCGGGGAGUGUUAUAGCCUCUGGUGAUGCAGCGCGUCUCGGGCGAGGUCCGCGCUUCGGCAAGGAUGAUGGCGUAAUGGUUGUCGGCGGCCCGUCUUGAAACACGGACCAAGGAGUCUAACAUCUAUGCGAGUGUUCGGGUGUCAAACCCCUACGCGUAAUGAAAGUGAACGGAGGUGGGAACUUUUUGUGCACCAUCGACCGAUCCUGAUGUCCUCGGAUGGAUUUGAGUAAGAGCAUAGCUGUUGGGACCCGAAAGAUGGUGAACUAUGCCUGAAUAGGGUGAAGCCAGAGGAAACUCUGGUGGAGGCUCGCAGCGGUUCUGACGUGCAAAUCGAUCGUCAAAUUUGGGUAUAGGGGCGAAAGACUAAU